Dermacentor albipictus is the source of this 5338-nucleotide long non-coding RNA. RefSeq lists it as uncharacterized. The record is from RefSeq and is a predicted model, not a curated record. NCBI's taxonomy places the organism in Eukaryota, Metazoa, Arthropoda, Arachnida, Ixodida, Ixodidae.
CCGUCAAUAGCAUGACGCCAUGUUGAACUUGUGCUGCAUCACGCGCGAGUACGUUGUCGUUGAGUGGUUCUGAAAUCGCUGCGUUAAGGGCGACUGCAACCAAGCGUUGUGGCAAGUUACGGUGGGAGCUUCUGUCCGUGCUGUGUGAUUGCGACGAGGGGACUGCCGCCAGCAGCAGCGUAUCGCCGAUAAGCGCCCGAAGUGCUGCGGUUUGCACUGCAUCUUUCAUUGUGAUAUGGGAGAUCGCAACGGACAGAGACGACCAGAUGCAUACGAACGACUACCAGCGGGGAGUGACCUGUGCCAUAUUUCUCUUAACGUCUCAGGUAUUCAAGAAAUGGCAACAGCCAGAAGUCACCAUCUUACCAGCACGUUAUGGGUACACUCUGGCGGCUCCUACCCCUGUGUCCUCCCACCACCCUGUCCUGACUACAUCCACUAGGUAGUUGGGAGCCUUUGGCGGCUUCUGCCACUGCAUCCUGCCGCCACCAUGUCCCGACUAUGUCCACUAGGGAUUUGGCAGCCUUAGUGAUGAUGCCAGCAGGCUGACAGCGGACAGAAAGAUUCAGGUUGCCUCGAAAUUUUACCCAAGCCAUGCCGCACACUCGGGCCAGGCCUCUUGCGAACGACGUAUAACCAGGCUCAACGCAUCAGGGUCGAGGGAGUCCGGAGAUCAAGGCAACCUGCUGUGCAACCAGCGUGCAACCUUUGGUGACCCCUCUACAUGUGCUACCUAUUUCACAGCUGUGCCUCACCUACCAUCUAUCCAAACAGCAUCACCGGCUGUGAUCACUUAUCGAACCAUGGAUGAAUGUUGGGGUGGAGUGAUUUGAACAGACAUUCUAUUUGUCUCUUCAAAUUCUUUGUAAAUAUUUCUGUUAUAAUUCAUAUGUGUCUUUAGUAUCUAGUUUUUAAUAGUUCCUUUCUCUUAGAAUUCUCACCAUCAGCCCCUGCUAUUCUAAUGUAUACCUGCCUUUAAGCCCCGUUUCUCGUAGUUCUUUCGUACUUGUGGAUGUAAUUGAUAGGUUAUUAAUUCUUGUUGUACGGAAGGCUAAAAUACGAACUUACGGCAUUUUUUCUUCCUUUGAUAAUCUACAGCACUGCAAUGUGUUCAAAAAAUGUAACAUAACACGGGCUCUGGUCCAGGAUAAAUUUAAGAGCAAUAUAGAGUACUUAUUUCAAGCACCCAUUAUUUUUUAAAAACUCAAGGAUAUAGGAGCACAAGAAAGAAACUAUUGAACUAGAGAAACAUUGGUUCCCCUCAUAAGUCUGGUGAUAAUGUGACUUCUUUCACUGCAAAGAUACUGGUACUCGCAUACAAGGUUUGAGACAUGAAAGCUAUGAUACCCUUGGCAUUUCUCAGUGCUUAUUUGCCACACUGAUGAAUGUCAAAGGCAGCAUAGGUUUCAUGCACACAUUGGUUGUAUUACAUCUUUUGAGUAUUGCAUUUCUCAAACACACGGGUUUGCAGCAGUGCUUUAAAUAGCAGAUGUAUUUCCUAAUUUUCAGAAUUUGUUAGUGCAAGAGUAACGCUACAGAUCAUGUAAAAAUAAUUUUACAGACUAUAUGUCCAUGGAUGCAUGUUUCUUCUGAUGACGUAGCAGUGCCAUGUGGUCGGGGGAUGAAUGUCUAUUUCAGAUUUAAAUAUUGGCUUCCAGGCCUGGGUUAGUCUCCUACACUGAGUAUUCUAGGUCAAAGCCCAGUUACUAGAGGAAAGUGAAUAAAACUAGGAAUUAUAAACAUCAAAAGAUCUUGUUCGGGACACUAAUGUAACAAUCAGCAAGGUUCUUUGUGCAUUCAUUUCCAGAUUUGCGAGAUUAUAUUUUGACUGGUUUCAUUAAUGCGAGAACAAAUAUUUCUUUAUUCUCAUGCUAGAGUUGGCUGCCCCCAUUCGCAUACAACCCCUUUACAGGCUAAAAAUUAAGUGUAUUAAUAGGCUGUUUUUCGGUUUUGCGCCCUCAGUGUUAAGGGAUGCAAACGGGGACAUACAACAGAAUGCAGAAAAAUGUCUAAGGAAUGCAAGCAGGGCAUGGGACUUUUUAGACAGAUGCAUGUGUGUGCUAUUUAUAAAACUCCCUAUGGUAUGCCUCAAGGAGUUUUGUAACCCUUUGGUAGAAACACUGACACCCACUUAUUAAGGGGAAAUGCUCCUCGAAACAACUUUUUUAAUUUGUACUAGAAAUUUGAAUGUACUGCUAUUCAUAGGCAGUUUUAUGUAGAUUUGAAUUGUCAUUGGUUUUUGUGUAGCUGGUGUUUAGUUAUGUCCUACAUAGUGGCAAUAUAUUUUUAUGGGCACUUGUGUGUAACAGUUUCGCAAAUGGUUUCAUGCUGUAUCUUAUUUAGCUAGGUGUAUACCGCAAAGUGGCGAUACCUAUCCAAACAGCUUGUACAAUUACUGGAAUUAUGCAAAAAAUAUUGGGCCACUUUAAAUAAUUUUUAGAUUGCAAUUUCAAUUAGAUACUGGUAUUCUGCUUAUCUUGAAGAGUCUACAGGCAGUCUACAGGGAGUCUUGGCAGGUCUAUCUUGGCUACAGUCUUGGCUACAGGUCUGUCUUGGCAGUCUACAGGGAGCUGACUUAGCUGCAGCACACUGCUUUUUUUGUGAAAAUUUAAUACACAAGAAAGUGCCCGCAAAUAUCACUAUGUAUUUUGCCGUUGUAUAGGACAUAACUCACGAAGCAGCUAAACAAGAACUAAUGGAAUAUAUGAAAUCUGCAUGAAGAACUCUACAAUUGGCUCUCUUUUGAAACCUCUAGUACAAAUAAUAAAAAUAGUUCGAGUAAUAUUCAAUCAGCAAAACGUUCCCCUUGCUACAGUGACCUACAACAUAGCGACGCAAAGCUUAAGGCAAGUCCUCUUGUCGAAGCGAAUAUGGGCUGUCUUCCCAAGGGCUUCUGUUAAAGACGGUGAAUUUUCCUGCAUUUACCAGAAGUGCAAUACUAAAAUGUUUGUGAAUGUGCGAUUGGUAUUGGCACACUAACAGAAAAAAAGACAGUUCUGUGAAAUGUAGACUUGAGACGUGACUUUGUUGGACAUUUAAAUUUUGACUCCAUAUAUUUGUGUUUUGUACUGAGUGUUUCACCGGUGACUGCCACUAAUUAUUGAACAUAACUGCUUAAUGACAGUGCGACAAUUUUCACUAACAUAAAUUUUAGCUGUGGCAGGCAUUAGAAUUGCAGUACUCAAUAACGUCUACUUUGUAAGAACUCAGACUAGCACCAGUUCUGAGAUACAUAUACCCAAAAAGUAAUGAUCAAAUAGAUUUCUUUUCCACACAGAAUUGCCCUACAAGGAUUACAGAAGGCUUUUUGGCAAAGUAAUAUCCGAAAGAGCAAAGCAUGUUCCACCAAGUAUGGUGACAAAUAUUCCAGAGCUGCCAGUCUGAGGACUCCUACAAACUAACAAUACCUUCAGCACUGACUAGCUUCAAUAAUGGGAUGUCAGUGUUUUGCUAAAAUUAAUGAAACUUCAAUUAUUGUGAUCUUGUUUAAGAAGACAUAUGUAAUUAACAUGCAGUUCUAAUCUCUGUCACUUUUGUAAAUAUUUCCCAAUUAUUUUUUCAGGCUACAAUUUUUGGUUACAAUGGUAUUCAUUGCAGAAAAAGCUAGUACAUGGCAUUUAAUAAAGAAGGUACUGGUCAUUGUAGAUUUUCUGUCUUCAGCAUUUGUUCUGUUCCACAGCUGUUUCUUGAAAUCUGAAAUGAUUUACCCAUCACUUUGUUAGUGAUCAACAGGGAAAUCUGUCAGUAUGUUUUGUUUAAAAUGGAGCUGAUCAACCCAAUAGUUAGGCUAUUUGCUAAUUAUAAAUUACAAUGAUAAUAGUACAGGACCAUAAGAACAGACUGAUGCUGAAUAACAGCUGUGCCCAGCUACAUCCACGCAGCUUUGCCACAUAAUGUGCAUGUGUUCAGAAGAGCCAAAUGCCCCAGAGAGAAAGCAACAGUAACUAAUUUUUCGUCAUCUUGUACAAGCAGAUUAUGCGCUAGAUGUAAAUCAUGCUCAGUAAAUACAUAAGUCAGUCAUGUGAGGUGUCUCACUUUUGGUUGCAAGUUGGAACUUAUUGCAAUCUUGGUUGUUUUUAUUUUGUUUCCUUUGUGAGCAUGAGUGACUUAGUUGCCUUGGCACAUAUUAUCAAAACUGUUUCUUCAUCACUUGGAAUCACAAAAUUUCAAUUACACAUAAAAUUUCCAGUUACUGAUAUGGUAGACUUCGAAGUUAAUUCUCUUAUCUACCAAGUAGUUUUAUCAUUCAUUGAAACAUAUCCAUGCAAUGCACAAUGGGACCCCAAAUUAUAAAUAUCUGUUCUUGCUUUCUACCCUGCUCUACAACAUUAUGAAGAUACAAAGCAAAACUAUAAAUUUACAAUUGUCCCCCAUAACCUGAGUUUCGCUUAGAAUUUGAAAAACAAAAUUGACAUCCUGCUAUAGUGUGAGAGUUGCUUUGGGCACCAAGUGAACUGCGUAGCACCUGUGCUAGAGUACACAACAAAGCAGAAAAUCGCACCAGAUUGCAAUGGCAGUGGUAAGUUAAGAACAGAAAGUUAAGAACAGUUGUUUUUUUCACGCACCAUUAAUGUGGCUUAUCAUCUGCUCCUGCUUUGUGGGAACGCGCACAUUGGGAAGACAAUUUUUUGCACCAAUCUUACCUUAGUGGGACACUUGAGAAAGGUAGAAAUCAAGAACAGGUAUUCACACUUUGUUGCCCACAGUGUAUUUAUUAUCUGAAUGUGUUUCACUCUACAAAAGACUACUGUGGUAGAUAAUCAUAAAGACCAAGACAAAAGAAUUAAAAGAAGUAUGUGUCAGUCAUCCUUCCAUGAUCUCCCGUGUUUAUAGAAACACUUCUUUCUGCAUAUGUGCGAAACUGUAGGGAAGCAUUACAUAACUCAGUCAUGCUUUCCAAGUUAAAAAUCGGAAUAAGGACGAUCACAAGAACAUUGUAUGAUUGAUUUGUAAAUGUGGCAUCUAAUGGAACUUAUUUACGUAUGUGCUGAGGGCACAUUACAGCCAGUGCAUAAUCUGUCUGCUCUUACAGGAUAGCUUGUGAUGAGUAAAAGAAGCCUUCCUCACAUUUUCCUCUUUGUUUCUUUUUGACCUCGGUGCACCAUGUGUAUUGUUACAGCUGCAUGCAUGCAGCUGGGUAUAGUUUGUGUUCUGCUAACUCCCUUGUCCUCAUUAUUCAUGUGCUAUCUUUGCCGUAACAAAAUACAGCUACCUGUGCUACAUAUUUUGUCAGCGUGUUUGCAUUAUGGCAAGUUUUGUAUUAGUGGUUAUUGCAGUCUGCGAAAUUGUCUGUCAGCUAUUACACUUCGUCUUGAAAAGUAUGUUUGUCAACAUAAAU